UACGGGGGGAGCAAGCGUUGUUCGGAUUUACUGGGCGUAAAGGGCGCGUAGGCGGUCAGCACAAGUCAGUUGUGAAAUCUCCGGGCUUAACUCGGAACGGUCAACUGAUACUGUGCGACUAGAGUGCAGAAGGGGCAACUGGAAUUCUCGGUGUAGCGGUGAAAUGCGCAGAUAUCAGGAGGAACACCGGUGGCGAAGGCGGUGGUCUGGGCCGGCACUGACGCUGAGGAGCGAAAGCGUGGGGAGCAAACAGG
Molecule: ribosomal RNA, 254 nt
Filed under: uncultured bacterium
Lineage: Bacteria
Description: partial 16S ribosomal RNA
Rfam family: Bacterial small subunit ribosomal RNA
Source: RNAcentral